CACGUAGGGCGCAAGCGUUGUCCGGAAUUAUUGGGCGUAAAGAGCUCGUAGGCGGUCUGUUGCGUCCGCUGUGAAAACUCGGGGCUUAACCCCGAGCCUGCAGUGGAUACGGGCAGACUAGAGGUAGGUAGGGGAGAAUGGAAUUCCCGGUGUAGCGGUGAAAUGCGUAGAGAUCGGAAGGAACACCAAUGGCGAAGGCAGCUUGCUGGGCCACACCUGACACUGAGGUACGAAAGCGUGGGGAGCGAACAGG
RNAcentral lists this ribosomal RNA (253 nucleotides) under uncultured bacterium. RNAcentral's name for it is "partial 16S ribosomal RNA". It matches the Rfam family "Bacterial small subunit ribosomal RNA", at positions 524 to 776 of the family's 1533-position model. The record is from RNAcentral.